GAUGAAGAACGCAGCGAAAUGCGAUAAGUAAUGUGAAUUGCAGAAUUCAGUGAACCAUCGAAUCUUUGAACGCACAUUGCGCCCUCUGGUAUUCCGGGGGGCAUGCCUGUUCGAGCGUCAUUAUAACCACUCAAGCUCUCGCUUGGUAUUGGGGUUCGCGGUUCCGCGGCCCCUAAAAUCAGUGGCGGUGCCUGUCGGCUCUACGCGUAGUAAUACUCCUCGCGAUUGAGUCCGGUAGGUCUACUUGCCAGCAACCCCCAAUUUUUACAGGUUGACCUCGGAUCAGGUAGGGAUACCCGCUGAACUUAAGCAUAUCAAUAAGCGGAGGA
Molecule: unclassified non-coding RNA, 329 nt
Filed under: soil metagenome
Description: partial contains 5.8S ribosomal RNA, internal transcribed spacer 2, and large subunit ribosomal RNA
Rfam family: 5.8S ribosomal RNA (bases 1-120)
Source: RNAcentral